GCGUCGUGCGUAAGAACAGCCCUUAGCCGUGGUAUAUUUAUUGGCCAUGUACCACACCUCCUCGGGCCUUAUUGCUUAAAUAUAUUUCUUAAUGGGAACCUGUACAUUAAAGCGUGGCUUGCUGCUUUUGUGUUUCGUUCUCGCGUCCUAAUUUUGGAUAUUUCAUUAAAUUCCAUGUAUUAUUUGGGCCAGAGAGAAAGAGGCGAAGUUUUUGCAUGGGAAUGUAAAAUACACAUCCGAGAAUGUCUCUGUCACAGAUGAAAGGGGUGUUGAUGCAGUGGCUCUUGCAGUGUUCAAAACAACGGAAACACGUAAAUCUCCGACUUCAGUGCGUUCAAGACAACUGUGAACUCGGGGAAAAAUGCGCUCCGACAGGAUUUUGUUUUUGUUUUGAAUGGUUAUCCAACUCGAAAUUCCAAGCCGGAAACUCGGCCAUCUUUCUAGAGCUCCGACUUUCCGACCUAUAGAUCACUGAUGUCAUGACUGACCUCGUUUUUUCCAAGUUCCCGUUUGUCUUCGAAGCACCAUAAGGUCCUGUCCAGUGGUGUAAAGUACUUAAGUAAAGAUACUUUAAAGUACUACUUAAGUAUUUUGGGGCGGGGGGGAUCUGUAAUUUAUUAUUUAUAUUUUUGACAACUUUCUUUACUUCAUUACAUUCCUAUUUCAAUUUGAAAUAAUGUAUUAUUAUUUUAAACCAAAUACUUUUAGACUUAAUAAAGUGGUAUUUUAAUGGGUAACUUUCACUUUUACUUGAGUUAUUUUCUAUUACGGUAUCUUUACUUUUACUCAAGAAAAUGAAAAUAAAACAGAAGAAGCAAACAAGGAUAAAACAUAUUUGAAAGCGGAACUAAGAUAUUAUCCUUAUUCUGACACUACAUUUGAGUCAGGCAGACCAACCGGAAGCGUUUUUCUCAGAACCUCUUGUGUACAUAUGCAACAACUAGCUACAGCAAAAUCUAAAAUAAUUUCGAGAUUUAUGACGUGAUGACUUCAGUUUAAAAUUAGAGCAAUGAAUCCUGUCAUUCUCAAGGGCAUCGGUAUCAGAUAAACAUCCGAUUCAGGCUAUGCAUUGCCCACUAAGAGCACAGAAGUCAUGGUCAUGCCGGAGCAAGGGACCGACCAAGAUGUAUGUAGACCCCAUCCUCAAGACCCAUGAGCGAAUUGUUCAGCACACAGAGGAAGAUUACCAAGCCCGUUUCAAGGCACAUCCAGAGCUAGAGGGACUGAUGGCACAGAUGACCUAGUGAGAGCAAAGACUGUUCACCCCACCCUUUUACGUCAACUGUCAUCAUACUUCUUCUGACAUCUACUGUUUCAUCUUUUUUUCAUCACGUUUUUUUUUAUAUAAAUUAAUUUUGGAUGAAUGUAGGACAUAUACUUUGCUGUUGUAGCUUCAAAUAAAAUAUUUAAU
Oncorhynchus tshawytscha (Chinook salmon) is the source of this 1411-nucleotide long non-coding RNA. RefSeq lists it as uncharacterized. The record is from RefSeq and is a predicted model, not a curated record. NCBI's taxonomy places the organism in Eukaryota, Metazoa, Chordata, Actinopteri, Salmoniformes, Salmonidae. The transcript is spliced from 4 exons.